RNAcentral lists this ribosomal RNA (204 nucleotides) under Escherichia coli. RNAcentral describes it as "partial 16S ribosomal RNA". It matches the Rfam family "Bacterial small subunit ribosomal RNA", at positions 1 to 212 of the family's 1533-position model. The record is from RNAcentral. Lineage: Bacteria; Pseudomonadati; Pseudomonadota; Gammaproteobacteria; Enterobacterales; Enterobacteriaceae.
AAAUUGAAGAGUUUGAUCAUGGCUCAGAUUGAACGCUGGCGGCAGGCCUAACACAUGCAAGUCGAACGGUAACAGGAAGCAGCUUGCUGCUUCGCUGACGAGUGGCGGACGGGUGAGUAAUGUCUGGGAAACUGCCUGAUGGAGGGGGAUAACUACUGGAAACGGUAGCUAAUACCGCAUAACGUCGCAAGACCAAAGGGGGGG